AUGCGGCAGUUACACCAGAACAAUAAUCUCCCUUGGCUCUUAAUAGGUGGUCUGAAUGAGAUUCAGUUCCUUCAUGAAAAGGAGGGGGGCAACCCUCGUCCUGUUCAGUACAUGCAAGCUUUUCAGGAGGCUAUAGAUGACUGUGAUCUGCAUGAUAUUGGCUUCCUUGGAGAUCGAUUUACAUGGCGCAGAAGGAGGAUCAGAGAACGGCUAGACAGAGGCCUAGCGAAUGAGGCUUGGGUGAACUUAUUUCCUCAUGCGGCUUUGGAAAAUAUGGAGUUUAACCACUCAGACCAUAGACCGUUACUUCUGAAUACAGAUUACUACGCCAGUAUGGGGAACAAUACAGGAAGUGCACAUCCGAAAAGGUUUGAAGCAAGAUGGCUAAGAGAAGAAAGUUUUAAUACUCAGGUUAUGGAAGCUUGGGCAGAUGUUGGUGCGGUAUCGGGAUUAUUAAGUAUAGCUGAAAAGCUGAACAGGAUGCAUGCAAGGUUCCAUGAUUGGGACCAACGAGUGUUGAAAAAACCAAAGAAGAGAUUACGUAAAGCUCAAAAGGAUUUAGAGAAAAUAAUGUCAGGCCCCAUGGAUGAUGAGUCUGAUGCAAAAAUGAAAGAACUUACUGAACUGAUUGAGUAUCUCUUAGAAUUAGAAGAGAUCCAAGCAAUGCAAUACUCCAGGGCAACAUGGCUGACAAGUGGAGACCGUAACACUGGAUUCUUCCAAGCUUUUGCUUCAGGGAGGAGAAAGAGGAAUUAUGUGAAGAAGCUAAAAGAUAAUGCAGGCAGCUGGUUGGAAGGUAUCCCAGAAUUGAAAUCGCAUAUCCAUGAUUACUUUUCUAACCUAUUGUAA
Molecule: ribosomal RNA, 849 nt
Filed under: Triticum aestivum (bread wheat)
Lineage: Eukaryota; Viridiplantae; Streptophyta; Magnoliopsida; Poales; Poaceae
Description: partial small subunit ribosomal RNA
Source: RNAcentral